Acanthochromis polyacanthus (spiny chromis) is the source of this 2792-nucleotide long non-coding RNA. RefSeq lists it as uncharacterized. The record is from RefSeq and is a predicted model, not a curated record. The transcript has 3 exons. NCBI's taxonomy places the organism in Eukaryota, Metazoa, Chordata, Actinopteri, Pomacentridae.
UCCAGUUUUUAUGACACUGAAUACAUAGAGGGCACAGGAGAUAAGAGAGUAGAUUGAAUCACUGCCUUUGUUAAAGGUGUCUUUGUUCAUGUAUUGUGGGAUGAUUUUUAUCACUGGUCUCCCCAUGAAAAGACAAGGUAUGUUUGUGCUGCACGGCAGUUUGCUUAGCUCAGUGCACACUGCAGGUGGCUGAGAGAAGAGAAGAGUUUGUAAUGUGGGAAUACUAGAAACUGUUUCUUGUACAAGAGAUAUUCCUAGAAAGGCAAUGGCUUGCACUGUAAGAUUGUCAGAGUUGGGACUGCAGCGACCAGUUGCUGGAGACAGGAUUGGAGGAACAGAGUCUUGUUUUGGGAUGCAAUUUCUGGUGAUUGGGUCUCAAACACAACCAGUUGUAUUUGUGUGCCUUGGGAAGAUUACAAAGAGGUGCUUUGUGAGGGGAUGCAGCUGCUGAAAUCCGACUAGAUCCAGCUGAAGAGAGAAGGGAGCAGGUGGGUCAACAACGCCACCCUGCUGUUCCCAGAAUAUCAGACUGCAGAGCUGUGCCUCCCUCCCCCACACAGGCACACACACACCCCAACACGUGCACACAUAUCCUCAGAGAACACCCCAACCUAGCACACACACAAACAUUAUACCAUGUCAAAAUAAAAACACAGUAACACCCACAAAACAGCAAUACAACAAUAUGCACACGUCAAAGGACUGCCUCAGUGGAAAUGCUGCCCACUCAAACAAGUGUGUAGAACAAGAAACAUUUAUACGAUGUGAAAAUGAUGGCAGAAAGUUACAGAGCUGCACAAGUCUAACACACAAACACUGUGCUGCUUACUAAGAUUUUAUGUUAAUUUCAGGUUGCAUCCCUGUUUGCUUAUUUUGUAAUGUCAUUAACAGCAUCAAAGACAAGGGCAGUUCAAAAGUGCUGCAGAAAGCAGAGGGAGAUCCUGUCAACUUAGUGAAGUUAACAUGUUAACGGGUCAGGAUGUUGCCAAAAUUUUGGAUUUCUACAUCACAGUAGGGACAUUGGUAAGAUGACCCUCAUCCGACUUUGUGCAGCUCAGAAAGAGGUGGUAGGAGAUGGAGAGGGGAAAGGAAUGAAAGAAAGGAGAGGAAGUCAUGCAGGCGAGUGUUCUUGAUCUUGUUGAGGCAGAUCAGGUGUCAUACCAUACUCUCUGCAGGGGAUGUGAUGCUGGACCAAAGUGAUAGAAAAUACACAGAUACAGAUGUGCUUUGAUAUUGAUUUUUAGCCAUAAGAAAUCGUUGUAAUGCAGAACUGGAGACAGACUAAAGAGUUACUGAACUUGAAAAUCAAAAACAACCUAUCUAUUUUGCUCUGUCGGCUACAUGUACUGCCUUACUCAACUUCAUACAAGCUGCUUCUUUCUCAUGAGCAUUCUCCAUCGAAGAACGAGCCAAAUUGUGGAUGAAUUUUUGUAUCAACUUUGCAUAUGUUUUCUCUCUGCCUUCAUGUUUCAUAAACAAGCUUUUUGAUAAUCUUAUAAGAAAUAUGCUAAUGGGAUUCAGAGUUCAGGUAUACAGGAAACUGUGGGCUGUUGGAAAAUAUUCUUCAGCUUUUUAAAUAUGUUUCUCCCACUGAAGUAGCUCUGUAUCCUUAAUGAGAGUUUUGAUACACAUGGCUCCCUCCCUCACACCUUAGAGUGCCCAUCCCCCUCUAUGCAUGCAACAAUUCAGCUACAUUGAUAAUAAGUUCUUCUGUCUCUCUCUGAAAAUGCUUGAAUGUUAUUUCAUAAAAAGGGCUGUUCCCUGAAAGAGCCCACUGUCCCAUACACUUAGUAUUCCUGUCUUGUGAUGCUUAAAGACAUCCCUGACACUAGAGAGUCCUGCAAGCUUGUUCUCAAGGAAAAAUCAGCAAACUUUAUCAGUGUUUAGCUACAAACAUUCACCUUGGGUAGUUCUUGUUUCAUGUAGGACUUACUAAUCAUAGGUGUGUCUCUUUGCAUGUGUGCAGCGUUUUUUUCUGUCGCCCUGAAGGCAAUCAGCUUCAUAUUUCUUUACUAUUUGUAUUUUUUUUUGCUUGAUGAUAGCAUAGCUUAGUUCCAGGUUCAUCAUUCAAAACUUCCAUUGACUUCUUUUUCUCUUGUAGACAAUAUUUCUACUGGUAAUUUGUCACUAUAAUCAUCCACGUGUACUUUUGUCUGUCACUUCUGAAUGACUUCAGUUGAUUUCUGCCUUCCACCAUUUGUGUAGCUAAAGCAGGGGUAUCAAACAGACGGCCCGAGGGCCAAAACCGGCCCACCAGAGGGUCCAAUUCAGCCCGCAGGAUGACUGAGUUACAGAGAAGACACUGAACAUUGUGCAAUAUAAUGUCAGUUAGCAGCUUUCGUGUGACGUUGUUUGGUUGAACCCUAUUGAUCAUGAAUUGCUACAACUUUUAUGUAUUUUUUAAUGUAUAAAUUUAAUACAUUUACAUGGCAGGGGGAUUACUUAACCUUCUUCCUUAAUAGUUACUACUUUAGUUUAUAUGAAGUGAUGGUCAGGAAUUCUACACAGAUGUGGAAAUGAAUGUACAUUUAAAAUAAUUUCUACAUCUUGAUGACAAGCUGUUUUGGUCAUAAAGAAAAACACUAUAUCGUUCAGUUCCAGAUACCUGUGACUAAAUGUUUUGUGCUUUUGCAGGUACAUUGUGAUCUCUAAGUUGUAAUGCACAAAUGAUAAAUCAAGGAAUAUUGUUGUUGAAAUUGCACUUAUUUGUCUUAAGAGAUUUCACAUUGUUCAUGAUUUGUAAAAAGAUAUUUCAAUAAAUGUGAACAUUUUGGGAAUGUAUUUGAACUUUU